Molecule: RNA transcript, 1230 nt
Organism: Gymnogyps californianus (California condor)
Lineage: Eukaryota; Metazoa; Chordata; Aves; Accipitriformes; Cathartidae
Exons: 2
Source: RefSeq, a predicted model, not a curated record
GAAUUAAGUCAGGAGGUGUUAAGCUGGGCACGGGUUCCCACGGCACAGGGCCUGCCCCAGCACGCUCAGCCCGUGACCUGCAGACACAGAUAAAUAUUUGAUGGAGAAGGAUGUCAAGUGGCGUUCGGGAUCUCGCUCGAUUUGAAAGUCUAGUGCAACAGGGACUGAAGCAGGACACCCCUGCUGCCCAUUGCCUGCAGCAAUGCCAGGGGCUGCUUGGCAGCUCUGCCUGGGAGGGAGGAGGCUGGCAGCUCUGCCUGCGGUGCCCCCCUGCCUGCCCUGCCCACACCAGCCUGGUGGGCCAUCAAGACACACAGAGCUGCGGCCUCUCCUUGACCCUCACUGGGACAGGGUCCUCGACGUUAUCUCCAAUUUACACCGGGGAAAGCUCGAGUCCUCCCUCCCAGCAUCCUCCAUCUAUUCCAUUAAAGGAGGGCUCCCGAAAGCUGGGUGUCUUUGUGGCGUCUGCCAGCUCCACCGCCAGCGCCGGGGAUGCUGGCUCAAGCCUGCAGCAAGGCACACGCAGGACGGCGGCUGCUGCUCCUCCUCCUCCUCUCCUGCAGCCCUCGGCACCCAGGGUUUGCAGCUGGGCCCCGCCGGCACGCCGAGGGCAGCGUGUUACACAGGCCAGGGGAUGUGAUCGGUCGGAACUGGGACUGCCCUGGCUGUGGGAGCUCCUGGAUUCUUGUCAUUUUAAAGAGCUUGUUGCAGAAGGAAAAUGGGAUAUUUCUCUCAGACAAGAUUUUGUGAAAGAACGGGGCUGGGUUAUUAGCAUUGUGCAUCAUGUGUGUUUCUGGCAAUAAAGGUUGAGCCAAAUUUGACAGGGAGAGCGCUCUGAUCUCAAAGACAGUAACAUCCUUCAAGUUGCCUUGACAUAGGGUGGCCAUCUGGGGGAAACCAGGCCUCACUAGCUAGGAGAUCUAAACCGAAAUAGCUGCCCUGGCUCCUGAAGACACACUGGGGCAACACAGGGAGCCCCAUGGUGGGAAGUGGGCAAGAUGAGGGCAGUGACUGAGUACAUCCAGUUUCAGCUGGGCAAAAACCUCAGCGUCCCUCAUGUAAGAACGUGUGUCUCUGGUGUCAAAAAUGACCUGGUCUUUAAACCAGGAAAGGCUCUUUGUGUUUCACUCAGAAUAUUCUUCAGCCCCCCAUUGCUGUAUCUGUGUCCCCCAUGUCAAAGCCUGCCCCAUAGCUCCUGCCAGCACUGCCCCGGGCAUCGCGCUGGUGCUG